RNAcentral lists this ribosomal RNA (433 nucleotides) under uncultured bacterium. RNAcentral describes it as "partial 16S ribosomal RNA". It matches the Rfam family "Bacterial small subunit ribosomal RNA", at positions 29 to 507 of the family's 1533-position model. The record is from RNAcentral.
AACGAACGCUGGCGGCACGCCUAACACAUGCAAGUCGAACGAGACCUUCGGGUCUAGUGGCGCACGGGUGCGUAACGCGUGGGAACCUGCCCUUAGGUUCGGAAUAACUCCCCGAAAGGGGUGCUAAUACCGGAUAAUGUCUUCGGACCAAAGAUUUAUCGCCUUUGGAUGGGCCCGCGUUGGAUUAGCUAGUUGGUAGGGUAAAAGCCUACCAAGGCGACGAUCCAUAGCUGGUCUGAGAGGAUGAUCAGCCACACUGGGACUGAGACACGGCCCAGACUCCUACGGGAGGCAGCAGUGGGGAAUAUUGGACAAUGGGCGAAAGCCUGAUCCAGCAAUGCCGCGUGAGUGAUGAAGGCCUUAGGGUUGUAAAGCUCUUUUACCCGGGAUGAUAAUGACAGUACCGGGAGAAUAAGCACCGGCUAACUCCGUG